UACAGGGGGUGCAAACGUUGCUCGGAAUUAUUGGGCGUAAAGCGCGCGUAGGCGGCUACUUAAGUCGGAUGUGAAAGCCCUUGGCUCAACUGAGGAAGUGCACCCGAAACUGAGUGGCUAGAGUACGAAAGAGGGUCGCGGAAUUCCCGGUGUAGAGGUGAAAUGCGCAGAUAUCAGGAGGAACACCUAUUGCGAAGGCAGCUCGCUGGGACGUUACUGACGCUGAGACGCGAAAGCGUGGGGAGCAAACAGG
Molecule: ribosomal RNA, 253 nt
Filed under: uncultured bacterium
Lineage: Bacteria
Description: partial 16S ribosomal RNA
Rfam family: Bacterial small subunit ribosomal RNA
Source: RNAcentral